This 885-nucleotide ribosomal RNA is filed under the name uncultured bacterium. RNAcentral describes it as "bacterial SSU rRNA". It matches the Rfam family "Bacterial small subunit ribosomal RNA", at positions 34 to 927 of the family's 1533-position model. The record is from RNAcentral.
UGCGGAAUCGGCAGUCCUACCAUGCAAGUCGAGGGAUAAGCCCUUCGGGGUGGAAACCGGCGCACGGGUGCGUAACGCGUAUGCAACCUACCUUUCACAGGGGGAUAGCCCGAAGAAAUUUGGAUUAAUACCCCAUAAUAUUGUUGGAUGGCAUCAUCUGAUAAUUAAAGUUACGAUGGUGAAAGAUGGGCAUGCGUCCUAUUAGCUAGUUGGAGUGGUAACGGCACCCCAAGGCUACGAUAGGUAGGGGUCCUGAGAGGGAGAUCCCCCACACUGGUACUGAGACAGGGACCAGACUCCUACGGGAGGCAGCAGUGAGGAAUAUUGGUCAAUGGUCGAAAGACUGAACCAGCCAUGCCGCGUGCAGGACAGACGGCCCUAGAGGUUGUAAACUGCUUUUAUAUGGGAAGAAUAAGGAGUACGAGUACUUUGAUGACGGUACCAUAUGAAUAAGCAUCGGCUAACUCCGUGCCAGCAGCCGCGGUAAUACGGAGGAUGCGAGCGUUAUUCGGAAUCAUUGGGUUUAAAGGGUCUGUAGGCGGGCUAUUAAGUCAGGGGUGAAAGGUUUCAGCUUAACUGAGAAAUUGCCUUUGAUACUGGUAGUCUUGAAUAUCUGUGAAGUUCUUGGAAUGUGUAGUGUAGCGGUGAGAUGCUUAGAUAUUACACAGAACACCGAUUGCGGAGGCAGGGGACUAACAGAUGAUUGACGCUGAGAGACGAAAGCGUGGGGAGCGAACAGGAUUAGAUACCCUGGUAGUCCACGCUGUAAACGAUGGAUACUAGCUGUUUGGCGUAAGCUGAGUGGCUAAGCGAAAGUGAUAAGUAUCCCACCUGGGGAGUACGCACGCAAGUGUGAAACUCAAGGAAUUGACGGGGGCCCGCACA